Molecule: ribosomal RNA, 460 nt
Filed under: uncultured bacterium
Lineage: Bacteria
Description: partial 16S ribosomal RNA
Rfam family: Bacterial small subunit ribosomal RNA
Source: RNAcentral
CCUACGUGUGACAGCAGUGAGGAAUAUUGGUCAAUGGGCGCGAGCCUGAACCAGCCAAGUAGCGUGAAGGAUGACUGCCCUACGGGGUGUAAACUUCUUUUAUAAAGGAAUAAAGUGAGGCACGUGUGCCUCUUUGUAUUUACUUUAUGAAUAAGGCUCGGCUAACUCCGUGCCAGCAGACGCGGUAAUACGGAGGAUCCGAUCGUUAAUCGGAUUUAUUGGGUUUAGAGGGAGCGUAGAUGGGUUGUUAAGUCAGUUGGGAAAGUUUGCGGCUCAACCGUAAAAUUGCAAUUGAUACUGGCAGUCUUGAGUACAGUUGAGGUAGGCGGAAUUCGUGGUGUAGCAGUGAAAUGCUUAGAUAUCACGAAGAACUCCGAUUGCGAAGGCAGCUGACUAAACUGCCACUGACAUUGAUGCUCGAAAGUGUGGGUAUCAAACAGGAUUAGAUACCCGGGUAGUC